This 732-nucleotide ribosomal RNA is filed under the name uncultured beta proteobacterium. RNAcentral's name for it is "bacterial SSU rRNA". It matches the Rfam family "Bacterial small subunit ribosomal RNA", at positions 28 to 757 of the family's 1533-position model. The record is from RNAcentral. Lineage: Bacteria; Pseudomonadati; Pseudomonadota; Betaproteobacteria.
AUUGAACGCUGGCGGCAUGCCUUACACAUGCAAGUCGAACGGUAACAGGUCUUCGGAUGCUGACGAGUGGCGAACGGGUGAGUAAUACAUCGGAACGUGCCCAGUAAUGGGGGAUAGCUCGGCGAAAGCCGGAUUAAUACCGCAUACGCCCUGAGGGGGAAAGUGGGGGAUCGCAAGACCUCACGUUAUUGGAGCGGCCGAUGGCUGAUUAGCUAGUUGGUAGGGUAAAGGCCUACCAAGGCGACGAUCAGUAGCUGGUCUGAGAGGACGAUCAGCCACACUGGGACUGAGACACGGCCCAGACUCCUACGGGAGGCAGCAGUGGGGAAUUUUGGACAAUGGGGGAAACCCUGAUCCAGCAAUGCCGCGUGUGCGAAGAAGGCCUUCGGGUUGUAAAGCACUUUUGUCAGGGAAGAAAUCCUUUGGGCUAAUACCCUAGGGGGAUGACGGUACCUGAAGAAUAAGCACCGGCUAACUACGUGCCAGCAGCCGCGGUAAUACGUAGGGUGCAAGCGUUAAUCGGAAUUACUGGGCGUAAAGCGUGCGCAGGCGGUUGUGUAAGACAGGUGUGAAAUCCCCGGGCUUAACCUGGGAAUUGCAUUUGUGACUGCACGACUAGAGUGUGUCAGAGGGGGGUGGAAUUCCACGUGUAGCAGUGAAAUGCGUAGAUAUGUGGAGGAACACCAAUGGCGAAGGCAGCCCCCUGGGAUAACACUGACGCUCAUGCACGAA